GAUGAACGCUGGCGGCGUGCCUUAUACAUGCAAGUCGAGUGGGUUUAGACCCACGGCAAACGGGUGAGUAACACGUAGGUACUUUCCUUGUCACAGGAAUAACCCUCCGAAAGGAGGGCUAAUACCUGAUGUGAUCGCAAGAUUAAAGGGUAUCCGCAAGGAUUACCGGACAAGAAGAGGCCUGCGGCCUAUCAGCUAGUUGGCGGGGUAAAUGCCCACCAAGGCUAUGACGGGUAGCUGGUCUUAUGAGGAUGAACAGUCACAUGGGCACUGAGACACGGGCCCAACUCCUACGGGGGGCAGCAGGAGGGAAUUUUGCGCAAAGGGCGAAAGCCUGACGCAGCGACGCCGCGUGCGAGAUGAAGGCCUUCGGGUCGUAAACCGCUUUUAUAAGGGACGAACUUUGACGGUACCUGAUGAAUAAGGGGUUGCUAACUCUGUG
RNAcentral lists this ribosomal RNA (442 nucleotides) under uncultured bacterium. RNAcentral's name for it is "partial 16S ribosomal RNA". It matches the Rfam family "Bacterial small subunit ribosomal RNA", at positions 28 to 507 of the family's 1533-position model. The record is from RNAcentral.